RNAcentral lists this ribosomal RNA (253 nucleotides) under uncultured bacterium. RNAcentral's name for it is "partial 16S ribosomal RNA". It matches the Rfam family "Bacterial small subunit ribosomal RNA", at positions 524 to 776 of the family's 1533-position model. The record is from RNAcentral.
CACGUAGGAGGCGAGCGUUGUCCGGAAUCAUUGGGCGUAAAGAGCGCGCAGGCGGCUUGGCAAGUCGGGUGUGAAAUCCCAGGGCUCAACCCCGUGACUGCAUCCGAUACUGUCAGGCUAGAGGUAGGUAGGGGAGAUCGGAAUUCCUGGUGUAGCGGUGAAAUGCGCAGAUAUCAGGAGGAACACCGGUGGCGAAGGCGGAUCUCUGGGCCUUACCUGACGCUCAGGCGCGAAAGCUAGGGGAGCGAACAGG